CAAAACAAAAGUGACAGAGUGACUAGUUUGAAAAUUCAAAUAUAUAUUGUAAGUAUUUUUCUGGGCAAUGCAUCAUGCUUCCUUGUUGACAACAUGGCCGAGCGUCGCAGAUUACUGUUCUGUUUGAGAGGGCGCUCCUCUGUCACUGCGUUUUCCCGGUGGUUCAACCAUGUCACGAGUGAAAAUGUAUUGGUCGCGGUAUUUUUUGGGCAACUUCUACCAACAUUUUGGCGUUUCAACAACAAAACCAUCUAUUUCACUGUGACCUGUUUCUGACUAUUAGGCAGGCUGUUGUUGACUAUCAGGCUGUUGUUAACUAUCAGGCUGUUGUUGACUAUCAGGCUGUUGCUGACUAUCAGGCUGUUGUUAACUAUCAGGCUGUUGUUGACUAUCAGGCUGUUGUUAACUAUCAGGCUGUUGUUAACUAUCAGGCUGUUGUUGACUAUCAGGCUGUUGCUGACUAUCAGGCUGUUGUUAACUAUCAGGCAGUGUGGCAGGCUGUUGUUAACUAUCAGGCAGUGUGGCAGGCUGUUGUUAACUAUCAGGCAGUGUGGCAGGCUGUUGUUAACUAUCAGGCAGUGUGGCAGGCUGUUGCUGACUAUCAGGCAGGCUGCUGUUAACUAUCAGGCAGUGUGGCAGGCUGUUGCUGACUAUCAGGCUGUUGUUAACUAUCAGGCAGUGUGGCAGGCUGUUGUUAACUAUCAGGCAGUGUGGCAGGCUGUUGUUAACUAUCAGGCAGUGUGGCAGGCUGUUGUUAACUAUCAGGCUGU
Long non-coding RNA from Oncorhynchus tshawytscha (Chinook salmon), 770 nucleotides. Lineage: Eukaryota; Metazoa; Chordata; Actinopteri; Salmoniformes; Salmonidae. The record is from Ensembl.